AUGCACGCUGGCGGCGUGCCUAAUACAUGCAAGUCGCGCGAACGGACGAGAAGCUUGCUUCUCUGAUGUUAGCGGCGGACGGGUGAGUAACACGUGGAUAACCUACCUAUAAGACUGGGAUAACUUCGGGAAACCGUAGCUAAUACCGGAUAAUAUUUUGAACCGCAUGGUUCAAAAGUGAAAGACGGUCUUGCUGUCACUUAUAGAUGGAUCCGCGCUGCAUUAGCUAGUUGGUAAGGUAACGGCUUACCAAGGCAACGAUGCAUAGCCGACCUGAGAGGGUGAUCGGCCACACUGGAACUAAGACACGGUCCAGACUCCUACGGGAUGCAGCAGUAGGGAAUCUUCCGCAAUGGGCGAAAGCCUGACGGAGCAACGCCGCGUGAGUGAUGAAGGUCUUCGGAUCGUAAAACUCUGUUAUUAGAGAAGAACAUAUGUGUAAGUAACUGUGCACAUCUUGACGGUACCUAAUCAGAAAGCCACGGCUAACUACGUG
This 496-nucleotide ribosomal RNA is filed under the name uncultured bacterium. RNAcentral describes it as "partial 16S ribosomal RNA". It matches the Rfam family "Bacterial small subunit ribosomal RNA", at positions 29 to 507 of the family's 1533-position model. The record is from RNAcentral.